Molecule: ribosomal RNA, 440 nt
Filed under: uncultured bacterium
Lineage: Bacteria
Description: partial 16S ribosomal RNA
Rfam family: Bacterial small subunit ribosomal RNA
Source: RNAcentral
CCUACGGGGUGUAGCAGUGGGGGAUAUUGCACAAUGGGGGAAACCCUGAUGCAGCGACGCCGCGUGGGUGAAGAAGCGCCUCGGCGCGUAAAGCCCUGUCAGCAGGGAAGAAAAUGACGGUACCUGAAGAAGAAGCCCCGGCUAACUACGUGCCAGCAGCCGCGGUAAUACGUAGGGGGCAAGCGUUAUCCGGAUUUACUGGGUGUAAAGGGGGCGCAGACGGCGAUGCAAGCCAGGAGUGAAAGCCCGGGGCCCAACCCCGGGACUGCUCUUGGAACUGCGUGGCUAGAGUGCAGGAGGGGCAGGCGGAAUUCCUGGUGUAGCGGUGAAAUGCGUAGAUAUCAGGAGGAACACCGGUGGCGAAGGCGGCCUGCUGGACUGCAACUGACGUUGAGGCCCGAAAGCGUGGGGAGCAAACAGGAUUAGAUACCCCAGUAGUC